GCGCUGCUGGAAUGUUGCUACAUAGAAAUGGAAAGUUGAAAUCAGCUCGUUUGUCGUAAAGUUUUGUUUUUAACCUACCCUCAUUGUGAAUUUCUAGAUGCAAGUCGAGAUAUGAGGCAGACGUAACUGUAAAUGUUGAAUCCUUUAUCUAGAGUUCAAUGGGAUAGAUGCGUUCAACAUAGUCACCAAAUUUUAAAUCAUUUAAUGAGAGAAC
RNAcentral lists this long non-coding RNA (214 nucleotides) under Mytilus galloprovincialis (Mediterranean mussel). The record is from RNAcentral. Lineage: Eukaryota; Metazoa; Mollusca; Bivalvia; Mytilida; Mytilidae.